CCCCAGGUCCGUGGGACGGAAGCCCAUGAACCCCGUCAGGACCCCGCAGGUAGCAGCGGUAAGUGCGGUAACCGUCGCCGCGGAGUGCCUGGGGCAC
Molecule: signal recognition particle RNA, 97 nt
Filed under: Gemmatimonadota bacterium
Lineage: Bacteria; Pseudomonadati; Gemmatimonadota
Description: signal recognition particle sRNA small type
Rfam family: Bacterial small signal recognition particle RNA
About the family: The signal recognition particle (SRP) is a universally conserved ribonucleoprotein involved in the co-translational targeting of proteins to membranes. Archaeal SRP consists of a 7S RNA and homologues of the eukaryotic SRP19 and SRP54 proteins.
Source: RNAcentral